RNAcentral lists this ribosomal RNA (253 nucleotides) under uncultured bacterium. RNAcentral describes it as "partial 16S ribosomal RNA". It matches the Rfam family "Bacterial small subunit ribosomal RNA", at positions 524 to 776 of the family's 1533-position model. The record is from RNAcentral.
AACGGAAGGGGCAAGCGUUGUCCGGAAUUAUUGGGCGUAAAGAGCUCGUAGGCGGUCUGUCGCGUCGGCUGUGAAAACCCGAGGCUCAACCUCGGGCCUGCAGUCGAUACGGGCAAACUGGAGUGUUGCAGGGGAGACUGGAAUUCCUGGUGUAGCGGUGAAAUGCGCAGAUAUCAGGAGGAACACCGGUGGCGAAGGCGGGUCUCUGGGCAACAACUGACGCUGAGGAGCGAAAGCGUGGGGAGCGAACAGG